Molecule: non-coding RNA, 81 nt
Organism: Aedes aegypti (yellow fever mosquito)
Lineage: Eukaryota; Metazoa; Arthropoda; Insecta; Diptera; Culicidae
Source: Rfam
UGCCCAGCAACUCCUAUCCCUACCUCCUCGUGGUACUGGCCGGGGUACGAGUAACCUUGGGUCGUAUGCUGACAGGGAAGG